GGCUGGUUAGCUCAGCUGGUUGAGCGUGGUGCUGACAACACCAAGGUCAUGGGUUCGAUCCCCGUUCGGUCC
Non-coding RNA from Apaloderma vittatum (bar-tailed trogon), 72 nucleotides. The record is from Rfam. NCBI's taxonomy places the organism in Eukaryota, Metazoa, Chordata, Aves, Trogoniformes, Trogonidae.